UACGGAGGGGGCUAGCGUUGUUCGGAAUUACUGGGCGUAAAGCGCACGUAGGCGGCUUUGUAAGUUAGAGGUGAAAGCCCGGGGCUCAACUCCGGAAUUGCCUUUAAGACUGCAUCGCUAGAAUUGUGGAGAGGUAAGUGGAAUUCCGAGUGUAGAGGUGAAAUUCGUAGAUAUUCGGAAGAACACCAGUGGCGAAGGCGACUUACUGGACACAUAUUGACGCUGAGGUGCGAAAAGCGUGGGGGAGCAAACAGG
This 255-nucleotide ribosomal RNA is filed under the name uncultured bacterium. RNAcentral's name for it is "partial 16S ribosomal RNA". It matches the Rfam family "Bacterial small subunit ribosomal RNA", at positions 524 to 776 of the family's 1533-position model. The record is from RNAcentral.